CACGUAGGGUGCGAGCGUUGUCCGGAAUUAUUGGCGUAAAGAGCUCGUAGGCGGUGUGUCGCGUCGGCCGUGAAAACCUGCAGCUUAACUGUGGCUUGCGGUCGAUACGGCAUCACUGGAGUUCGGCAGGGAGACUGGAAUUCCUGGUGUAGCGGUGAAAUGCGCAGAUAUCAGGAGGAACACCGGUGGCGAAGCGGGUCUCUGGCCGAUACUGACGCUGAGGAGCGAAAGCGUGGGAGCGAACAGG
This 247-nucleotide ribosomal RNA is filed under the name uncultured bacterium. RNAcentral's name for it is "partial 16S ribosomal RNA". It matches the Rfam family "Bacterial small subunit ribosomal RNA", at positions 524 to 776 of the family's 1533-position model. The record is from RNAcentral.